CUACGGGGUGCUCCAGUGGGGAAUAUUGGACAAUGGGGGCAACCCUGAUCCAGCCAUGCCGCGUGUGUGAAGAAGGCCUUAGGGUUGUAAAGCACUUUCAGAUGUGAGGAAAGGUGUGUGCUUAAUACGUACAUACUGUGACGUUAGCAUCAGAAGAAGGACCGGCCAACUCCGUGCCAGCAGCCGCGGUAAUACGGAGGGUCCGAGCGUUAAUCGGAAUUACUGGGCGUAAAGCGCGCGUAGGUGGUUUCGUCAGUCAGAUGUGAAAGCCCCGGGCUCAACCUGGGAAUUGCACCGAUACUGCGGAACUAGAGUACGAUAGAGGGGAGUGGAAUUUCCGGUGUAGCGGUGAAAUGCGUAGAGAUCGGAAGGAACACCAGUGGCGAAGGCGACUCCCUGGAUUGAUACUGACACUGAGGUGCGAAAGCGUGGGGAGCAAACAGGAUUAGAUACCCUAGUAGUC
RNAcentral lists this ribosomal RNA (463 nucleotides) under uncultured bacterium. RNAcentral describes it as "partial 16S ribosomal RNA". It matches the Rfam family "Bacterial small subunit ribosomal RNA", at positions 339 to 795 of the family's 1533-position model. The record is from RNAcentral.